GGGGGAAUAUUGCACAAUGGGCGCAAGCCUGAUGCAGCCAUGCCGCGUGUAUGAAGAAGGCCUUCGGGUUGUAAAGUACUUUCAGUCGGGAGGAAGGUGGUAAGGUUAAUAACCUUGGCAAUUGACGUUACCGACAGAAGAAGCACCGGCUAACUCCGUGCCAGCAGCCGCGGUAAUACGGAGGGUGCAAGCGUUAAUCGGAAUUACUGGGCGUAAAGCGCACGCAGGCGGUUGAUUGAGUCAGAUGUGAAAUCCCCGGGCUUAACCCGGGAAUUGCAUCUGAUACUGGUCAGCUAGAGUCUUGUAGAGGGGGGUAGAAUUCCAUGUGUAGCGGUGGAAUGCGUAGAGGUGUGGAGGAAUACCGGUGGCGAAGGCGGCCCCCUGGACAAAGACUGACGCUCCGGUGCGAAAGCGUGGGGAGCAAACAGG
Molecule: ribosomal RNA, 429 nt
Filed under: Chloroflexota bacterium
Lineage: Bacteria; Bacillati; Chloroflexota
Description: Chloroflexi bacterium partial 16S ribosomal RNA
Rfam family: Bacterial small subunit ribosomal RNA
Source: RNAcentral